AUUGCCUCAGUAACGGCGAGUGAAGCGGCAACAGCUCAAAUUUGAAAUCUGGCCUGGUCGAGGCCCGAGUUGUACUUUGGAGAGGGUGUUUCGGGGGAGGGGCCGGCCUAAGUUCCUUGGAACGGGACGUCAGAGAGGGUGAGAACCCCGUACGGGGCCGGCGACCGACUUCAGGUGAAACCCCUUCGACGAGUCGAGUUGUUUGGGAAUGCAGCUCUAAAUGGGUGGUAAAUUUCAUCUAAAGCUAAAUACCGGCCAGAGACCGAUAGCGCACAAGUAGAGUGAUCGAAAGAUGAAAAGCACUUUGGAAAGAGAGUUAAACAGUACGUGAAAUUGUUGAAAGGGAAGCGCUUGCGACCAGACCUGCCGCCGGGCGAUCAGCCGCCGUUCUCGGCGGUGCAUUCGCCCGGGGCAGGCCAGCAUCGGUUCGGGCGGCCGGACAAAGGCCUCGGGAACGUAGCUCCCCUCGGGGAGUGUUAGAGCUCGAGGUGCCAUGCGGCCCGCCGGGACCGAGGACCGCGCUUCGGCUAGGAUGCUGGCGUAAUGGUCGUAAGCGGCCCGUCUUGAAACACGGACCAAGGAGUCUAACAUCUACGCGAGUGUUUGGGUGUCAAACCCAGGCGCGCAAUGAAAGUGAACGGAGGUGAGAACCCGGCCCCGGGCGCAUCAUCGACCGAUCCAGAUGUCGUCGGAUGGAUUUGAGUAAGAGCGUAGCUGUUGGGACCCGAAAGAUGGUGAACUAUGCCUGGAUAGGGUGAAGCCAGAGGAAACUCUGGUGGAGGCUCGCAGCGGUUCUGACGUGCAAAUCGAUCGUCAAAUCUGGGUAUAGGGGCGAAAGACUAAUCGAACCAUCUAGUA
This 858-nucleotide ribosomal RNA is filed under the name Buellia alpina. Its description in RNAcentral is "partial large subunit ribosomal RNA". It matches the Rfam family "Eukaryotic large subunit ribosomal RNA", at positions 74 to 949 of the family's 3401-position model. The record is from RNAcentral. Lineage: Eukaryota; Fungi; Ascomycota; Lecanoromycetes; Caliciales; Caliciaceae.